GUAGGGAAUCUUCCGCAAUGGACGAAAGUCUGACGGAGCAACGCCGCGUGAGUGAUGAAGGCUUUCGGGUCGUAAAACUCUGUUGUUAGGGAAGAACAAGUGCUAGUUGAAUAAGCUGGCACCUUGACGGUACCUAACCAGAAAGCCACGGCUAACUACGUGCCAGCAGCCGCGGUAAUACGUAGGUGGCAAGCGUUAUCCGGAAUUAUUGGGCGUAAAGCGCGCGCAGGUGGUUUCUUAAGUCUGAUGUGAAAGCCCACGGCUCAACCGUGGAGGGUCAUUGGAAACUGGGAGACUUGAGUGCAGAAGAGGAAAGUGGAAUUCCAUGUGUAGCGGUGAAAUGCGUAGAGAUAUGGAGGAACACCAGUGGCGAAGGCGACUUUCUGGUCUGUAACUGACACUGAGGCGCGAAAGCGUGGGGAGCAAACAGGAUUAGAUACCCUGGUAGUCCACGCCGUAAACGAUGAGUGCUAAGUGUUAGAGGGUUUCCGCCCUUUAGUGCUGAAGUUAACGCAUUAAGCACUCCGCCUGGGGAGUACGGCCGCAAGGCUGAAACUCAA
RNAcentral lists this ribosomal RNA (560 nucleotides) under uncultured bacterium. RNAcentral's name for it is "bacterial SSU rRNA". It matches the Rfam family "Bacterial small subunit ribosomal RNA", at positions 354 to 904 of the family's 1533-position model. The record is from RNAcentral.